RNAcentral lists this ribosomal RNA (305 nucleotides) under uncultured bacterium. Its description in RNAcentral is "bacterial SSU rRNA". It matches the Rfam family "Bacterial small subunit ribosomal RNA", at positions 334 to 631 of the family's 1533-position model. The record is from RNAcentral.
GGUGCCUACGGGACGCAGCAGUAGGGAAUCUUCCACAAUGGGCGAAAGCCUGAUGGAGCAACGCCGCGUGGGUGAAGAAGGUCUUCGGAUCGUAAAACCCUGUUGUUAGAGAAGAAAGUGCGUGAGAGUAACUGUUCACGUUUCGACGGUAUCUAACCAGAAAGCCACGGCUAACUACGUGCCAGCAGCCGCGGUAAUACGUAGGUGGCAAGCGUUAUCCGGAUUUAUUGGGCGUAAAGGGAACGCAGUCGGUCUUUUAAGUUUGAUGUGAAAGCCUUCGGCUUAACCGGGGGAGUGCAUUGGAA